RNAcentral lists this transfer RNA (107 nucleotides) under Nitrososphaerota archaeon. Its description in RNAcentral is "Thaumarchaeota archaeon tRNA-OTHER". It matches the Rfam family "tRNA". From Rfam's summary of the family: Transfer RNA (tRNA) molecules are approximately 80 nucleotides in length. Their secondary structure includes four short double-helical elements and three loops (D, anti-codon, and T loops). The record is from RNAcentral. Lineage: Archaea; Thermoproteati; Nitrososphaerota.
GGGCCCGUGGCCUAGUAUGGAUAAGGCGUUGAGUCUCGACCGUUAACUCGGUCGCACGUGAAUCCCCUCUAAGGCAGAGAUCGAGGGUUCAAAUCCCUCCGGGCCCG